Lactuca sativa (garden lettuce) is the source of this 919-nucleotide non-coding RNA. The record is from RefSeq and is a predicted model, not a curated record. NCBI's taxonomy places the organism in Eukaryota, Viridiplantae, Streptophyta, Magnoliopsida, Asterales, Asteraceae.
AGAUAAAUAGAAGCAUGAGUGAAAGGAGGCGUAGGAAAAAAAAUCAGAGGUAUGAAAUUAAACAUCAACAAUAACGAAAAUUUGGUGAUUUCCCAACAGCUAAUGAUGAGGAAUCAUAGUUCCGAUAGGUUCCUGUUUUGCUGUUUUCCAUGCCUUUCUGUUGAACAUUGAAGUUUUUUUUUUUUUUUUUAAAUAUUUGACUCAUAAUUUGUUUUAAAAGGUUACUAAAGGUUUUUGAAAAGAAUGUGAAGUCCAUCUCUUACUGGCACCUCAAAGCUAUUUUCAUGUUGUUGCAAAUCAGGUGAUUGAUGAAAGGCCUCAAUGGUUUUUGUUAUUUCCCUUUUAGAUUUUUCAAUUCAAAUGAGACAAACAUACAUCAAGGGUGCAGUCUUACCAUUUUAGACUCAGGACUUUCGUUUUCCUCUUUGAUCUUUAUCGUUUGUUUACUUUUAAAUAAUCAUGUUGGCAACAUUAAUAGUGUAACCUGAUGUAUCAUUUGCAGUCUCUUUUGAAUUAAUCAUGUUCAGGAAUUAGAUUUCAGUUUGAGGAUCAUGUUGGCAACAUUAAUAGGGUAAAAGGGUCUUUAUAUAUGGAUGGAAUGUUGUGGUGGUUGAUUGAACAUCAAAAAUCCAGGGUGGGAAAAAACACUUUUUGUUUAAUUAUUUGUUCAGUUUUCAUAGUUAAAAAUUUCGCAUUUCAUUUUCAAGACUGUUAGACAUGUGCGUGCUUUGAUGAGGGGAGGGGUGACAACUUGGAAUGUGUGUGUGGAUCAUCAGGCAUCAAGUAUGUGUUUGUUUGUGUAUCGAUGUGUAUAUGUAUGUGCAACUAUGUAUAUGGUUUAUAUGAUAUUUGACUGUAUCUAUAAGGGGAAUGUGGUUGUGGCAGGGAAGGGGAUGGGUAUAUUGGUCAUUUUAAACUA